RNAcentral lists this transfer RNA (66 nucleotides) under Caecilia tentaculata. RNAcentral's name for it is "tRNA-Val". The record is from RNAcentral. Lineage: Eukaryota; Metazoa; Chordata; Amphibia; Gymnophiona; Caeciliidae.
CAGAAUGUAGUAUACACAAAACACUUCACUUACAUUGAAAAAACAUCUACAACCAGAUCAUUCUGA